This 613-nucleotide ribosomal RNA is filed under the name Cleistothelebolus nipigonensis. RNAcentral describes it as "eukaryotic LSU rRNA". It matches the Rfam family "Eukaryotic large subunit ribosomal RNA", at positions 22 to 650 of the family's 3401-position model. The record is from RNAcentral. Lineage: Eukaryota; Fungi; Ascomycota; Leotiomycetes.
UGUACCCGGUUGAAAUUGAGCGUAUCAAUAAGCGGAGGAAAAGAAACCAACAGGGAUUACCUCAGUAACGGCGAGUGAAGCGGUAACAGCUCAAAUUUGAAAUCUGGCCUCACGGUCCGAAUUGUAAUUUGUAGAGGAUGUUUCGAGCAUGGUCUGGCCUAAGUUCCUUGGAACAGGACGUCAUAGAGGGUGAGAAUCCCGUAUGCGGUCAGGUGCCUACGCUCAUGUGAAACUCCUUCGACGAGUCGAGUUGUUUGGGAAUGCAGCUCAAAAUGGGUGGUAAAUUUCAUCUAAAGCUAAAUAUUGGCCAGAGACCGAUAGCGCACAAGUAGAGUGAUCGAAAGAUGAAAAGCACUUUGGAAAGAGAGUUAAACAGUACGUGAAAUUGUUGAAAGGGAAGCGCUUGCAACCAGACUUGCACGCAGCUAAUCAUCCGGUGUUCUCACCGGUGCACUUGGUUGCGUUCAGGCCAGCAUCGGUUUCGGCGGUGGGAUAAAGGCCUUAGGAAUGUAGCUGCUCUCGGGCAGUGUUAUAGCCUAGGGUGCAAUGCCGCCUGCUGGGACCGAGGACCGCGCUUCGGCUAGGAUGCUGGCGUAAUGGUUGUAAGCGGCCC